GGGAGAGACAUGGUGCUACAUUCCAAGGGCUUGGAACAGUACAACCCCAGUAAGCUGGUGCCGGAAAAAGUGAUGCUGGAAAUCCAGAAGGAGAAAAAGCAGGAGGAGGCAUUGGAGAGCUCCAUGGAUAAGACCAAGGUAGCCCUGGAAAGCAUGGUACUUGAGGAGGAAAGCCUUGAUGAUUAUUAGUUGCAACUUCUUUGGAGCCACAGUUUCCUCCCUUCUUAGAUGAAAUCGAAGCUGUGACAGAAGAUCCACUUAAUCUAUCACCUGCUCC
RNAcentral lists this unclassified non-coding RNA (277 nucleotides) under Hevea brasiliensis (rubber tree). Lineage: Eukaryota; Viridiplantae; Streptophyta; Magnoliopsida; Malpighiales; Euphorbiaceae. The record is from RNAcentral.